This 253-nucleotide ribosomal RNA is filed under the name uncultured bacterium. RNAcentral describes it as "partial 16S ribosomal RNA". It matches the Rfam family "Bacterial small subunit ribosomal RNA", at positions 524 to 776 of the family's 1533-position model. The record is from RNAcentral.
UACGUAGGGGGCAAGCGUUGUCCGGAAUCAUUGGGCGUAAAGAGCGUGUAGGCGGCUUGGUAAGUCCGCUGUGAAAGUCCAGGGCUCAACCCUGGAAUGCCGGUGGAAACUGCCAAGCUUGAGUCCGGAAGAGGCGAGUGGAAUUCCUGGUGUAGCGGUGAAAUGCGCAGAUAUCAGGAGGAACACCAAUGGCGAAGGCAGCUCGCUGGGACGGUACUGACGCUGAGACGCGAAAGCGUGGGGAGCAAACAGG